RNAcentral lists this long non-coding RNA (825 nucleotides) under Felis catus (domestic cat). RNAcentral describes it as "lncRNA (ENSFCAG00000046857.1)". Lineage: Eukaryota; Metazoa; Chordata; Mammalia; Carnivora; Felidae. The record is from RNAcentral.
UUACCACGGUUUUGGGGCCCCAACUUCCCUUACAAUAAAAAGAGGUAAUAGGGGGAUGUACUGACAGAAGCCGGAAGGAGAGACACAGCCAGGCUUCCCGGCUCUGGCUCUGUCCCUCUUUCCCUCCCUCCGCUUUCUCUCCCUGCUCUUGCCCCCUCUCUGCUCUGUGCCAUCCCUGCCCACGGUCUCCUUCUGCUAAGUCCUAGGCUCUGCCCUGAAAUGUUCCUGGUGUCUGCGGCCCCGGCCCCUGUACGGCGGGGCAGCUGUCAAAACAGUCCUUGUUUCACAGUUUCACUUUCCACGGUUCAUCUAUUCCGGAUUUUAGCUUUUCCAGAAGAGGAAUCUGACUGGCAGGCUUCACCGGGUCCUGGGUCAACAGCCCAGCGGUGAAUGGGCUGCCCAGGCAGCAAGUGCCCACCUGAAGAGAAAAGAGUCCUUAAGACUAAGGCCUGGGAAGCUUCUCUUUAUUUCCAACUGGACGUGAACACGAAGGUCAGCGGCUCUUCAUUCUGGCCUCAAGCAGGAGAAGGAUCAUGGCUACGUCUCCAAUUACCUCCUGGAGCCCGACAAGGAACCCGUAAGUGGGGUCCAGGAAUCUGCCUUUUGAAACAGCUUCCUUCCGUAAUACAGCUACAAGGACCGCGUGGACAGCACCCCGCUCAGCCGCUCAACCAUAAAUUCCAAAGGGACCAGGGACAAAGUCUUCCUGAUAGGAUGUUCUGGCCCCGAGUCCCGGCUCUUGCGACUUUGCGGCCACCUGACUUUGGACAGUUUCCUUUUUCUGGCCUCAACUUUCUUGUCUGUACGCUCAGGAGGUUGAGUUAG